GACGAACGCUGGCGGCGCGCCUAACACAUGCAAGUCGAGCGAGAACCCGAGGAGGGGUAACCCUUCUCGGGGGAGAGCGGCGAACGGGUGAGUACCACGUGGGCAACCUGCCCCAGACUC
This 120-nucleotide ribosomal RNA is filed under the name uncultured bacterium. RNAcentral's name for it is "partial 16S ribosomal RNA". It matches the Rfam family "Bacterial small subunit ribosomal RNA", at positions 28 to 138 of the family's 1533-position model. The record is from RNAcentral.